This 474-nucleotide ribosomal RNA is filed under the name uncultured fungus. RNAcentral describes it as "eukaryotic LSU rRNA". The stretch from base 140 to 291 matches the Rfam family "5.8S ribosomal RNA". The record is from RNAcentral. Lineage: Eukaryota; Fungi.
CUGCGGAGGGAUCAUUACUGAAUGGCCCUUUGGGCCUUCAACCUUCAAAAACAUGUGGAAGCAAGAUGUGCUUCGGUGCCUCUGGUGCCGCCUUUAUGCAGUGAAGCCUUAUUUGUCUGAACCAAAAUCAAAAAGUUAAAACUUUCAACAAAGGAUCUCUUGGCUCUCACAUCGAUGAAGAACGCAGCGAAGCGCGAAAUGUAGUGUGAAUCGCAGAACUUAGUGAAUCAUCGAAUCUUUGAACGCACAUUGCGCCUCCCAUCAUCGGGAGGCAUGCCUGUCUGAGCGUCAUUUAAACCAUAGCUCCCAUCUGGGACUGUACUGGGCAUCGCCGACGGCGUAGCCUCAAAGACAUUGGUCUAAUCAAGCGGACGAGUUCCUUUAGGACGGACCGUUGGGUUGACCUUAAACCUCUGACUUGACCUCAGAUCAGGUAGGGCUACCGCCUGAACUUAAGCAUAUCAAUAAGCGGAG